RNAcentral lists this transfer RNA (95 nucleotides) under Tepidimonas ignava. Its description in RNAcentral is "tRNA-Ser". It matches the Rfam family "tRNA". Rfam says of the family: Transfer RNA (tRNA) molecules are approximately 80 nucleotides in length. Their secondary structure includes four short double-helical elements and three loops (D, anti-codon, and T loops). The record is from RNAcentral. Lineage: Bacteria; Pseudomonadati; Pseudomonadota; Betaproteobacteria; Burkholderiales. RNAcentral also lists the same sequence under 2 other names.
GGAGAGGUGGCUGAGUGGACGAAGGCGCCCGCCUGGAGAGCGGGUAGGCAGGGAUAGAACCUGCCUCGUGGGUUCGAAUCCCACCCUCUCCGCCA